RNAcentral lists this ribosomal RNA (232 nucleotides) under uncultured Geobacillus sp. Its description in RNAcentral is "partial 16S ribosomal RNA". It matches the Rfam family "Bacterial small subunit ribosomal RNA", at positions 1150 to 1382 of the family's 1533-position model. Lineage: Bacteria; Bacillati; Bacillota; Bacilli; Caryophanales; Anoxybacillaceae. The record is from RNAcentral.
UGCCGGCGACAAGUCGGAGGAAGGUGGGGAUGACGUCAAAUCAUCAUGCCCUUAUGACCUGGGCUACACACGUGCUACAAUGGGCGGUACAAAGGGCUGCGAACCCGCGAGGGGGAGCGAAUCCCAAAAAGCCGCUCUCAGUUCGGAUUGCAGGCUGCAACUCGCCUGCAUGAAGCCGGAAUCGCUAGUAAUCGCGGAUCAGCACGCCGCGGUGAAUACGUUCCCGGGCCUU